Molecule: ribosomal RNA, 380 nt
Filed under: uncultured eukaryote
Lineage: Eukaryota
Description: partial 18S ribosomal RNA
Rfam family: Eukaryotic small subunit ribosomal RNA
Source: RNAcentral
CAAUAGCGUAUAUUAAAGUUGUUGCAGUUAAAAAGCUCGUAGUUGGAUUUGUGGAUUUUGCGAGUCGGUCGCACUAAUUGUGUGUACAUGAUUCGUAGGUCCAUCCUUGGGUGGAAUCUGUGUGGCAUUAGGUUGUCGUGCAGGGGAUGCCCAUCGUUUACUGUGAAAAAAUUAGAGUGUUCAAAGCAGGCUUAUGCCGUUGAAUAUAUUAGCAUGGAAUAAUAAGAUAGGACCUUGGUACUAUUUUGUUGGUUUGCGCACCGAGGUAAUGAUUAAUAGGGACAGUUGGGGGUAUUCGUAUUCCAUUGUCAGAGGUGAAAUUCUUGGAUUUUUGGAAGACGAACUACUGCGAAAGCAUUUACCAAGGAUGUUUUCAUUAA